This 559-nucleotide long non-coding RNA is filed under the name Homo sapiens (human). RNAcentral describes it as "non-protein coding lnc-ZNF680-38:1". The record is from RNAcentral. Lineage: Eukaryota; Metazoa; Chordata; Mammalia; Primates; Hominidae.
AUAUAGUCCAGCUAAUUGACAUGGCCCAGCAGACUGCCCAGGGCAUGAACUACCUCCAUGCCAAGAAUAUCAUCCAAGGCGAUCUCAAGUCUAAUAACAUUUUUCAACACAAAGAUGAGUGACUCUCGUCUGGCCACAGUGAAGACAGAGUGAAGCAGGGCCCAGCCCUUGGAGAAGCCUUCAGGUUCUGUUUUGUGGAUCGCAGCUGACCUGAACCCCUUCAGCUUCCAGUCGGACGUCUAUGCCAGUGUGGCUGUGCUCUAAAAUCUCACGACUGGCUCACUGCCUUACAGCCACAUUGGCAGCUGUGACCAGAUUAUCUUUAUGGUGGGCUGUGACUCUUCAUCCCUGGACCUCAGAAAAAUCUCCAGCAACUGCCCGAAGCCAUGUGGUGCCUGCUGUCUGACUGCCUCAUGUUCCAGCAAAAGGAGUGGCUCCAUUUGCCCCAGACUCUCACCACAAUUUUUCUGCUGCAAGGGUCGCUCCCCAAGAUGGAGGGGAAUACCUCUAAAUCGUCCUUUUAUCAAACCCAAGCUGAUGAGUUUCCUUCCUGACUACU